This 386-nucleotide ribosomal RNA is filed under the name uncultured bacterium. RNAcentral's name for it is "bacterial SSU rRNA". It matches the Rfam family "Bacterial small subunit ribosomal RNA", at positions 30 to 418 of the family's 1533-position model. The record is from RNAcentral.
AUUGAACGCUGGCGGCAUGCCUUACACAUGCAAGUCGAACGGCAGCGGACCUUCGGGUGCCGGCGAGUGGCGAACGGGUGAGUAAUAUAUCGGAACGUACCUUUCAGUGGGGGAUAACGUAGCGAAAGUUACGCUAAUACCGCAUAUUCUGUGAGCAGGAAAGCAGGGGAUUGCAAGACCUUGCGCUGAUUGAGCGGCCGAUAUCAGAUUAGCUAGUUGGUGAGGUAAAGGCUCACCAAGGCGACGAUCUGUAGCGGGUCUGAGAGGAUGAUCCGCCACACUGGAACUGAGACACGGUCCAGACUCCUACGGGAGGCAGCAGUGGGGAAUUUUGGACAAUGGGCGCAAGCCUGAUCCAGCCAUGCCGCGUGAGUGAAGAAGGCCUC